AGAGUUUGAUCAUGGCUCAGAAUGAACGUUGGCGGCGUGGAUUAGGCAUGCGAGUCGCGCGAGAAUGUAGCAAUACAGGACAGCGGCGAAAGGGAGAGGACAACACGGGAAUCUGCCUUGGGGACGAGGAUAGCGUCGGGAAACUGACAGUAAUACUCGAUAAUGUUUGCGGACCAAAGGUGUGAUUCCGCCCCAAGAUGAGCCCGUGCCCCAUUAGCUAGUUGGCAGGGUAAUGGCCUACCAAGGCUGUGAUGGGUAGCUGGUGUGAGAGCACGACCAGCCUCACUGGCACUGAGACACUGGCCAGACACCUACGGGUGGCUGCAGUCGAGAAUCUUCGGCAAUGGACGCAAGUCUGACCGAGCGACGCCGCGUGCGGGAUGAAGGCCUUCGGGUUGUAGACCGCUGUCGUAGGGAAUCAAGUGUAUGAGGGUACUCCCUUGUAUUUGAGAGAUCCUAGGAGGAAGGAGAGGCUAAGCUCGUGCCAGCAGCCGCGGUAAGACGAGCUCUCCAAACGUUAUUCGGUAUUACUGGGCUUAAAGAGUUCGUAGGCGGCUCUGUAGGUGAGAUGUGAAAGCCCUCGGCUUAACCGAGGAACUGCGUUUCAAACCACAGGGCUUGAGGGAGAUAGGGGUAAGCGGAACAGAUGGUGGAGCGGUGAAAUGCAUUGAUAUCAUCUGGAACACCGGUGGCGAAGGCGGCUUACUGGGUCUUUUCUGACGCUGAGGAACGAAAGCUAGGGUAGCGAACGGGAUUAGAUACCCCGGUAGUCCUAGCCGUAAACGAUGAGCACUAGUCUGAGGGACUCUCACAGUUUCUCGGACGUAGCGAAAGUGUUAAGUGCUCCGCCUGGGGAGUAUGGUCGCAAGGCUGAAACUUAAAUGAAUUGACGG
RNAcentral lists this ribosomal RNA (893 nucleotides) under uncultured bacterium. Its description in RNAcentral is "bacterial SSU rRNA". It matches the Rfam family "Bacterial small subunit ribosomal RNA", at positions 8 to 916 of the family's 1533-position model. The record is from RNAcentral.